Molecule: long non-coding RNA, 339 nt
Filed under: Daucus carota (carrot)
Lineage: Eukaryota; Viridiplantae; Streptophyta; Magnoliopsida; Apiales; Apiaceae
Description: long non-coding RNA (DCAR_LNC000976)
Source: RNAcentral
UCUAUCUAGGACUUGUUUAUUCGGGCCCUGCGUGGCUAAAGCUUUGUGCUUGCUUGACUUCUAUUUGGGAAUGUAAUAUGACUUUAACUUAUCUUGUAGCCUUGCAUGGCUUUUAUGUACUCGACUUAUCGUAUCUUUUAUAAGGGUUGUACCACAACUCUUAAGUUAUUAAUCUAACUAUUUCGGAUUUGAGCUUCUAGCUUUUGUGUUGUAUGUUUCGAGUUUUCAUGCCAUGCAUUUACUGUCCAGACCUUAGGAUUCACAACGCAAUAUCUAUAAGGAAAACAUUCACGCAAACGGAAUUUAAACAAAUAUAAAGGAUACUAGGUAAUCUUCGAG